RNAcentral lists this ribosomal RNA (497 nucleotides) under uncultured bacterium. RNAcentral describes it as "partial 16S ribosomal RNA". It matches the Rfam family "Bacterial small subunit ribosomal RNA", at positions 28 to 507 of the family's 1533-position model. The record is from RNAcentral.
GAUGAACGCUGGCGGCGUGCCUAAUACAUGCAAGUCGAGCGAACGGACGAGAAGCUUGCUUCUCUGAUGUUAGCGGCGGACGGGUGAGUAACACGUGGAUAACCUACCUAUAAGACUGGGAUAACUUCGGGAAACCGUAGCUAAUACCGGAUAAUAUUUUGAACCGCAUGGUUCAAAAGUGAAAGACGGUCUUGCUGUCACUUAUAGAUGGAUCCGCGCUGCAUUAGCUAGUUGGUAAGGUAACGGCUUACCAAGGCAACGAUGCAUAGCCGACCUGAGAGGGUGAUCGGCCACACUGGAACUGAGACACGGUCCAGACUCCUACGGGAGGCAGCAGUAGGGAAUCUUCCGCAAUGGGCGAAAGCCUGACGGAGCAACGCCGCGUGAGUGAUGAAGGUCUUCGGAUCGUAAAACUCUGUUAUUAGGGAAGAACAUAUGUGUAAGUAACUGUGCACAUCUUGACGGUACCUAAUCAGAAAGCCACGGCUAACCACGUG